AUCUUUCCUAUGAGCGGAACGCGUAGAAUGUCUGCGAAAGGUCUGCCUUGUGAAAAAGCGAUAGACAAGCGAAUAAUCUGCCUUUCUAAAUUGAGCAAUAAAUCCUGACCCAGGACACUUGAACACCCGGCGGACUGCCCCACGACUCGGACAAGUGAAGGUCACGGGCAGGAGCAGAGUGCUCUCCACAGGGAGCAGGGUCAUGAGGAAUGAUUGGAAGCAUGGGUUUCGGGAUCAGAUGGGGGUGUGUUCUCAGCUUGAACCGCCAUAUUGGUGAUCUUGGAGAUUCCAUCUCUCUGGGUUUGCAUUUAUCCAUGUGUAUUUUCAGUGGUGACUCUACGGACACAUGAAUAUGAUGAAUCCAGGGACUGCUCUCUUUUCCAAGACUUGCCGAAAACACAGAUGUGUCCUGGAAAUUAAAACAACUUGCUGUGGAUUUCACAUGAACGUGAAAAUGACCACUAUCCCAUCCUCCGGAGAGGAGAGAUUUUAAUGGGGAAGAAAAAAGACAUGCUCCAGAGGACUCUUUCUUGUGUGUCUGUAUCUUAGCAAUCCAUUCCUGCUCCAUCAAAAUGCUGAAGUAUCUGCUUCCUGCUCCAGCAUCCCUCCGAGCCACAGCAAGCUAGCAGCCAGUACCAACAUGCAAAAAACACUAUCUUUAGGAACUUGACGUUUGAUAAUGAAUUUUCGCAAAAGGAAUGAUUUCCUGCCAGUUGUCUCCGCCUCUCAUUUACCACUGUGUUUCCGCUUAAGCACAAAUAAAUAGAGUAAAGCAAAC
This is a long non-coding RNA of Mustela lutreola (European mink), 778 nucleotides long. RefSeq lists it as uncharacterized. The transcript has 5 exons. The record is from RefSeq and is a predicted model, not a curated record. Lineage: Eukaryota; Metazoa; Chordata; Mammalia; Carnivora; Mustelidae.